This is an RNA transcript of Mus musculus (house mouse), 9164 nucleotides long. It is a transcript of the gene named PAN2 poly(A) specific ribonuclease subunit, with no coding region annotated. The transcript has 25 exons. The record is from RefSeq and is marked validated. Lineage: Eukaryota; Metazoa; Chordata; Mammalia; Rodentia; Muridae.
AUCCCUGGCUGUCCUGGAACUCAUGCCUCAAAAAAUAUCAGACAGAUUACACAGGGAGGAACUAGAGGUGAUAUGAAGAUGUUGACCAUGCUGUCUCCAACUCAGAGAUCCCCCUGCCUCUGCCUCCUGAGUGUUGGGAUUAAAGCUGUGUACCACCUCUGCCUGAAGACUUUCUUUUUUUUUUAAUUAUAAAAUUCUUUAUGGAUUUGCAUUUCAUCUUUGCACAGGGGCCAUGCUAAUCUUCUCUGUAUCCUUCCAAUUUUAGUAAGGUACAGCUGAAGCAAAUACCCUUUGGGACUAUUUUAAACUGCCCGAAUGAAGCUUUUGGUUUAAAUACUAUUAUUAGGAUUCUGUGAUGACUCUGCCUCCCUUCCAGUGAAACAUUUCCAGCAUCUGAGAAUUAGCUCGGUUUGGGGGAGAAAUGAUUUGUCUACCUAGGACAGAUAUAAAUGGAAUAAAGGAAUUGGGAGGAGGAUGCAUAAGGGAGUCCUCGUUAUUUUGUGCAGUGUCUCUCUUUUGCUACAUCUGCUCAGAGUCCUGAGAGUCCUCACAGGUAGGAGAUAAAAGGUGAGAAGAAAGAUACGGAAACGAAGAUGAGGUGGGAAGAGAUUGACAGAGUGAGUUGGAGGCACAGGCUCUCAGCUGUUUUACUUCCUGGUGCUUUAGCAGUUGAGUAGGAAGUGGGGUUGGUGUGGCGACUCCAAAGUGGCUAGCAGCUGGAACCACUUCCAAGGCUGCUGCUGACCUAGAGCUUCAAGAAGCCCUUGACGUCAGCGUGGGGUGGGGGGGCUCAACCGUUAUGCAAAUCACAUUCAGAAGACACUCCUAGACAGGCCUUUCCAGACGAAUGCCCAGACUCCAAAUCCAAUUGAAGUUUCCCCAGGUGGUUAAUGACUAUAGCUAAUAAUGAUGGCUAAUUCGUAUCUAACUCUCACUGAUCUAAGCAUUUUACGAGCAUUAAUCUAAGUCUCAGUAAAUUCUACGUCGUGCAUAUUAUAUCAUGGAUUUACUGGGGAGACUGAGGUGCAAAGAUAAGUCGUUUAACAAAGACCUCAUAGCUGGGAAAUGGCUAGCUGUAGCGCCGAACACAAAAUUCUACUUUUAAAAAUUGUUUAAAAUUAUUAUGUGUGUGCAGGUGCAUGUGUGCCUCGGGAUGCCUGUGGACAUCAGAGGACAGCUCUGUCCAGACAGCCCUCUCUUUGUACCUUUGUGUAGGUUCCAGAAAUUGACCACGGGUUGCUAGUCUUCCAACCUGGCUUUGUAUUCCACACAUGCUAGGCAAGUGUUCUACCAGCCAUUGAAUCCCCAGGAAUAAAAACAUAAGCACUACCGCACCUAGUUUAUCUUUACAUUGUCAGUCUUUGUUUGUUUGUUUUUCAAGACAGGGUUUCUCUGUAUAGCCCUGGCUGUCCUGGAACUCACUUUGUAGAUCAGGCUGGCCUCGAACUCCCCAGUGCUGGGAUUAAAGGCGUGCACCACCAUGCCCAGCUUUUUUUUUUUUUUUUUUUUUUUUUAAGAUAUACUUGUUUAUGUAUAUGAUACACUGUAGUUGUCUUCAGACACACCAGAAGAGGUUAUCAGCUCCUGUUACAGAUGGUUGUGAGCCACCAUGUGGUUGCUGGGAAUUGAACUCAGGAACUCUGGAAGAGUAGUCAGUGCUCUUAGCCGCUGAGCCAUUUCUCCAGCCCUGUAUUUUGAGUCUUCUAACUUAGCUUUAGUAACAAGGAUUAUAGACCUGUAUCAGGCUCAACCCAUAUUCUGCAGUUUAGUUCCUUGUUUUUGAGACAGUUUCUUGUUGCCCAGACUGGUUUCGGAAUGACCUUGAGCUCCUAAUCUUCCUGCCUCCACUUCCCAAGCGCUGGGGUUACAGGUGUGCUUCGCUCCAUGUAAAAUUACUGUGUCAUUAUAUUGGAUACUGUGAGGAAACUCAAGUGGAAGUAGAUUUUGAUUCAUAAAGUAGUUUAUUGAGUGAGGUCUGAUGGCACCCUUCUGUAUACCCAGUUCUGGGGUUAAUAUGAAGGGAGGAUUACAAGUUCAAGUCUAGUUUGGACUCCUUACUGAGAAUUCAGCUCAACAAACCAAAAAGUAACCGAUUUACUCCAAGUAUCUCAAGCUCCUUAACUCCCGUGGUCUGUGAGGUCUCUUUCAAUUAUGAGUCUUUAAUAUGGAGAUUUCUGUGUAGGGACUGUCUGGGUCUCUUAGCACCUAAGUCCUUGUAUGAAAAUUUAAAUCUAAGGACCAGCGAAGCCAGAGAUCCUUUGAGUUAGGUGUUCUCUAUUUUGAUGUAGGAUUUCUUGGUGUGUGGAAUACCCAAGUGCCUAUGUCCCCCUUGCCCACCCCAUUACUAUUUUAUUUUGUUUUUUUUUUUUUUUUUUAGAUAGAGUUUCAGGUAGGCUAGGCUGCAGAACAUCCAUAGAUGAAGUCCCGAUGCAUCUGCCUCAGGGUUCUUUCUUGAAGUUCUACUUGCUUGCCUUUAUUGAGAGAGAGAAAAAUCACACACACACACACACACAGAGAGAGAGAGAGAGAGAGAGAGAGACAGAGGGACAGACAGAGACAGAUAGACACUUAAAUUUAUUUAUUAUGUAUGUGUGCCACAGUAUGAAUGUGAAGACAACCACAUUGAGUCUCAGGGAUGGAACUCAGACCCUGACAGUUGGUAGCAGUAUCCUUACCUGCUGUACCAUCUUGAAAUCCUCUUUCACCUUUUUGAAAAGAAAUACAUUUUUAUUUGGAUGAGGGGGGUGUUUUGAGACAGGGUCUCACUGUCUAACCUUGGUCGGCCUAGAAUUCACUACGUAGACCAAGCUGUCCUCAAAUUCACAGAAAUCCAUUCUGCCUCCUGAGUGGUGGGAUUGCCAUCCCACUUAGCCUGGUUUUUGUUUGUUUGAAACAGGGUCUCAUGUAACCUGACUAGCCUGGGACUUGCUAUAUAGAAGAAGCUAACCUUGAACACUAAUCCUCCUGCCUCAGGAUUACUGCCAUUACAAAUAUACCUCCACUAUGCCUGGCCCAAUAAAUGCUUUAAAAGUUUUAUUAUUGGUGUUUAUUAUUGGUGAGAACUUUCUUCCACAGGCACCUGUUGAAAGGGAUAUUCACCAUGUAGCCAUAGCAAGCCUGGUCCUUACUAUCUAUGUAGCCUAGGCUGGCCUCGAAUUUGUAAGGGAUUCCUGCCUCUGCUUUAAUAAUGCAGGUAUUGUAGGUAUGGACCACUAGUGGCACAGGGCCUUUAAAAACAGAGAUGACAGAGCUGAGUUUGGGCAACCUAAGACAUCUCACAGCCUGGACCAAUUCCAAAGCAGUUUAGUACACAGCCAGUACCCCCAAAUAUUUUAGACACGGUGACACACUCUCACAGGAGAGGGAGAGGCAGUAGGAUCUCUUAGUUGGAGAUUAAUCAAGAACCCCUCAGAAUAGCUACAGCUCAGUUGACUCAGUUUACUGUUUAUCUCUCUCUUGGGGUCAAUGUCCAGCUCCACGGUCUAGGGGAAUUUUGACAGUCUAGGAGACUUGUUUCUUGGGAAAAUUAGGGGACCUCUGGGGACGACACAAACAUUGAUGGGAAUUUCAGAUGGAUGCCUCUAGAAAUAGAGAAAAGGUGGCCACUUGGGCCACACUAGAAGUCAGGCUCCCGCUUCCUUUUUCUUCCCCACAUCUAGAAGUCAUAGGAAAUGCCAGUGAGUUUCGGGGGUACAGGGUCAGAGGUAUUGGAAUGGCUCACAGGCACAGCAAGAUGAAGGUCUAUACGCCGGGAAUGAUGAAGGCCACGCUGGGAAUACCCACCGGGCGAGUCCCAGUGCUUAGCCUCUGGCGCCCCUUUAGUCUAGUUCUUAUUCAGGGAGCGUAAAAGCUUGGCUUCAAAGUCUAAAGUUAAUUUUGCUUAACAAAGCCUGAGAGCGAAGGGAUUACUUUUCGUAACACCAAAUAGAUCCGCGCCUGAUUCAGUUUGUCCCCGGUGGCAUUCCGUAACCUUGUUUUGGCGGAGGCUACGUCACUCUCCUUCUCAGGCGCUGCCUGUACCUGGCUUUUUCUGAUUGGCUGGGAUGAGCCCGUGGCCCCCGCUGAUUGGAAGCGAUGGCUGCCAAUCCACCGUCCGUCUUGCUUGGGUUAGGUUGAGCUAGAGGCGGGGGAGUAGUAGGGAAACUGGAAUUUCCCGCGGAGCUGACGGCGCUUUCUCUACCCCCUACUCGUUUGAAUUCCACGCGCUCCAAAAUAUCCGCCAUGGAGAAAUCUUGGCCAGAAUGUCCAUUCUAGGUUCACUGGUGCUGUCCUCCUGAAGGCUGGGUCACUUGUCUGUAGGAAGCGUGGCAAGGGAGGGUGUGACUCCGGUCUGACCAGCGGCCACUAUCGUCAUGAACUUUGAGGGUCUGGAUCCUGGACUGGCCGAAUUUUCCCCAGCUAUGCAUUCUACCCUGGACCCAGUCCUGGAUGCCCACCUGAAUCCAAGUUUGCUACAGAAUGUGGAGCUAGACCCAGAGGGAGUGGCCUUGGAGGCUCUUCCUGUCCAGGAGUCAGUGCACAUAAUGGAAGGUGUCUACUCUGAGUUGCACAGCGUGGUGGCUGAAGUGGGAGUGCCUGUGUCUGUCUCCCACUUUGAUUUACAUGAGGAGAUGCUGUGGGUGGGGAGCCAUGGGGGCCAUGCCACCUCCUUCUUCGGCCCAGCUCUGGAGCGCUACUCAUCCUUUCAGGUCAAUGGUGGUGACGACAUUCGGCAAAUCCAGAGCCUGGAGAACGGUAUCCUCUUCCUCACCAAGAACAACCUCAAGUACAUGGCCCGUGGAGGGCUCAUUAUAUUUGACUAUUUGCUGGAUGAAAACGAGGAUAUGCACAGCGUCCUCCUGACAGACAACAGCACUCUGCUCGUUGGGGGGCUGCAGAACCACGUACUGGAGAUUGACCUGAACACUGUCCAGGAGACUCAGAAGUAUGCAGUCGAGACACCCGGAGUCACCAUCAUGAGACAGACAAAUCGUUUCUUCUUCUGUGGCCACACAUCUGGCAAGGUUUCCCUGCGAGACCUCCGUAGUUUUAAAGUGGAGCAUGAAUUUGAUGCCUUCUCAGGGAGUCUGUCAGAUUUUGAUGUUCAUGGCAACCUGCUGGCUGCCUGCGGCUUCUCCAGUCGCCUUACCGGCCUGGCCUGUGACCGUUUCCUCAAAGUGUACGAUCUGCGCAUGAUGCGUGCCAUCACACCUCUUCAAGUGCACGUGGAUCCGGCCUUCUUACGAUUCAUCCCCACAUACACUUCCCGCCUUGCUAUCAUCUCCCAGUCAGGUCAAUGCCAGUUUUGUGAACCCACAGGCCUGGCCAACCCAGCCGACAUUUUCCAUGUGAAUCCCGUGGGACCUUUGCUAAUGACGUUUGAUGUGUCAGCCAGCAAGCAGGCCCUGGCCUUUGGGGAUUCUGAGGGCUGCGUGCAUCUCUGGACUGAUUCCCCUGAGCCGUCCUUCAACCCCUACUCCCGAGAGACUGAGUUUGCCCUGCCCUGUCUUGUGGACUCCUUGCCGCCUCUGGACUGGAGCCAGGAUCUGCUGCCGCUUUCCCUCAUUCCCGUCCCACUUACCACUGAUGCACUGCUCUCUGACUGGCCUGCUGCCAACUCUGCUCCCGCUCCCAGGCGAGCACCACCUGUGGAUGCAGAAAUUCUUCGAACCAUGAAGAAAGUGGGCUUCAUUGGCUAUGCUCCCAACCCUCGCACCAGGCUGCGCAACCAGAUUCCCUAUCGACUAAAGGAGUCAGACCAUGAAUUUGACAACUUCAGCCAAGUCACGGAGUCACCGACAGGGCGAGAAGAGGAGCCUCUCCACACAGUUUCUAAGAAAUACCGGAAGGUAACCAUCAAAUAUUCCAAGCUAGGCCUGGAAGACUUUGACUUCAAACACUACAAUAAGACUCUGUUUGCUGGGUUAGAGCCUCACAUCCCCAAUGCCUACUGUAACUGCAUGAUCCAGGUGCUCUAUUUCUUGGAGCCUGUUCGCUGUCUGAUCCAGAACCACCUUUGCCAAAAGGAGUUCUGCCUAGCGUGCGAGCUCGGCUUCCUCUUCCACAUGCUAGACCUCUCUCGUGGCGAUCCUUGUCAGGGCAGUAAUUUCCUCCGAGCUUUCCGGACCAUCCCUGAGGCCUCAGCUCUGGGUCUCAUCCUUGCUGACUCAGAUGAGGCUUCAGGCAAGGGCAGUCUGGCCCGGCUCAUCCAGAGGUGGAACCGCUUCAUCCUCACUCAGCUACAUCAGGAUAUGCAGGAGCUGGAAGUGCCCCAGGCUUAUCGAGGUGCUGGAGGCAGCAGUUUCUGCUCAUCAGGAGACUCCAUCAUUGGGCAGCUGUUCAGUUGUGAGAUGGAGAACUGCAGUCUUUGCCGCUGCGGCAGCGAGACUGUGCGGGCCUCGUCCACCCUACUCUUCACACUCUCCUACCCUGAGGGUAGCAUCUGUGAUAAAACCGGGAAGAACUAUGACUUUGCUCAGGUGCUGAAGCGAAGUAUCUGCCUGGAGCAGAACACACAGGCCUGGUGUGACAACUGUGAGAAGUACCAGCCCACAGUGAAUUCAGACCAGAAACAUCCGACAUCUGCCAGAUAUUCUUGUCAUUAACUGUGAAGUGAAUAGCUCAAAAGAGGCUGAUUUCUGGAGACUGCAAGCUGAGGUUGCCUUCAAAAUAGCGGUGAAAAAGUACGGCGGGGAAAUGAAGAGCAAAGAGUUUGCUUUAGCUGAUCGGAAGGAACUGAGGAGUCCAGAGGGCUUUCUGUGUUCCUCCAUCGAGGAGCUGAAGAAUGUCUGGCUUCCAUUUUCCAUCCGCAUGAAGAUGACCAAGAACAAAGGACUGGAUGUUUGCAACUGGGCUGACGAGCAUGAGCUUAGCAGCCUGGGUGCCCCCUCACAGUGGGGUCCGGCCAGGGCAGAGGAGGAGCUUGGUGUCUAUGUAUAUGACCUGAUGGCUACUGUGGUACACAUCCUGGACUCACGAACAGGCGGCAGCUUGGUGGCUCACAUCAAAGUCGGUGAGACCUACCACCAGCGCAAGGAGGGCGUGACUCAUCAGCAGUGGUAUCUCUUCAAUGACUUCCUUAUUGAACCUAUUGAUAAGUAUGAAGCCGUGCAGUUUGACAUGAAUUGGAAAGUACCUGCUAUCCUGUAUUAUGUCAAAAGGAAUCUCAAUUCCAGAUACAAUCUGAAUAUCAAGAACCCCAUUGAGGCCAGUGUGCUGCUGGCAGAAGCCUCGCUGGCACGGAAGCAACGGAAAACACACACGACCUUUAUUCCAUUGAUGCUGAAUGAGAUGCCACAGGUCGGGGACCUGGUGGGCCUGGAUGCCGAGUUUGUCACUCUUAAUGAGGAAGAAGCAGAGUUACGCAGUGAUGGUACCAAGUCCACCAUUAAGCCAAGCCAGAUGUCAGUAGCAAGGAUCACCUGUGUUCGGGGCCAAGGGCCUAACGAGGGCAUCCCCUUCAUUGAUGACUACAUCUCCACGCAGGAGCAGGUAGUAGAUUACUUGACUCAGUACUCGGGGAUAAAGCCAGGAGACCUUGAUGCCAAAAUCUCCUCAAAGCACCUCACAACCCUCAAGUCUACCUACUUAAAGCUUCGCUUUCUCAUUGAUAUUGGAGUCAAGUUUGUGGGUCAUGGUCUGCAGAAGGACUUCCGGGUCAUCAACCUCAUGGUUCGGGCAGGGCUUAUUUCAGAGUGUGUUUUUUGUUGUUGUUGUCUUCCUUUGUUUCUUGUUUGGGUUUUGUUGUUGUUGUUGUUUUGACACAAUGUCUCACUAAGCAGCUCUGGCUGCCCUGUAACUAGUUAAGUUAAGCAGACCGGCUUUGAACUCACAGAGGUUCGCCUGCCUCCUCCUGAGUGUUAGAACUGAAGGUGUAUAUUACCAUCCCUAGCACCCCCCUCCCUCUAAUAUACAGCCUUCUUCCAACCCAACUUGCUCCGACCAUCUUCAUUCACUCACCAUACUUUAAAAAACAAAAUUAAGUUUAUUUGGUGUGUGUGCGCUCAUACACACCUCCUCCUGCAAGUACUGAGUUACACGUGUAGAGGUCAAAGAUCAGCUUGUGCACGUCAACUCUCUCCUUCCAUCUCGUGGGUCCUGGGAACUGAAGUAAGGUUGUCAGGCUUGGUGGCAAAUGCCUUUACCUGCUGAGCCACCUUGCUGACCUCGGAGUUACUCUUCUGGCUGACUACUCAGGGCAUAUAUCUGAAUUCAGAGAAUGGGAGGUUCUGGAUCAUCUGUCUCAAGGCUUCUUUUCUUCUGGUCCCUGCUAGGUGCCCAAGGACCAAGUUCUUGACACAGUCUACCUGUUCCACAUGCCCCGAAAACGAAUGAUUUCCCUACGAUUCCUGGCCUGGUAUUUUCUAGACCUGAAGAUUCAAGGUGAGACCCAUGACAGCAUUGAGGAUGCCCGCACAGCCCUUCAACUCUACCGGAAGUAUCUGGAGCUGAGCAAGAACGGCACCGAGCCCGAGUCCUUCCACAAGGUGCUCAAGGGUCUCUAUGAGAAGGGCCGAAAGAUGGACUGGAAGGUGCCUGAGCCUGAAAGCCAGACAAGUCCCAAGAAUGCAGCUGUCUUCUCAGUGCUGGCACUGUGAGCUGCCUUCCCUUUCAGUGCUGUCCCCAGAACUGAGAGGUGGCUUCUCAAGUCGGCUUUACCCUGUCCACUUCCAGAACUGGAUCUGCUCAGGGUCUACAGAUGGUGCUAUUAAUAGAACUGGAAAGCAGCAAAAUUGUUGCAAAGGUUCUAGCUGCCAGAUUCCCCCUUUAUCCUCUGCAAAACAGUGGGCCAGAAACAAAGCCUAAAGUGACCCAGGUGGAGUGAUUGGUGUUCGUAAUAAAUAUCCUGGGCAACUGAUAUCUGUACAAAAGAGCUCUAGAACCAGAACUCUCAGUUCCCAGUCUGCUAGAGAACUGAAGUCCUGGACAGUCACAGGGUACAGAGACCCAGGCAGCUCCAGCAUCUAGCUGCUUGAGAGACGGUGGCUGGGUGGACCAGCUUGUAGAGUCUCAAUGGGCCAAUCAAACCGGUGUGCAGGAAGCUGAGCUACUGGCUUCAUUCCUGACCACAGCUGAGAAGUAUCUGUCUUCCAUACAUUCUAUCUCGAGUUUUGUUUUAUUUUUUAAAAAUUUUGCUUAAAACAGCAUGUUUUAUAAAAUAAAAGUAUUUUUAUCUCAUUAGAAAA